AAGAAAGUAAGAAAGGGCGUAUGGCGGAUGCCUAGGCUCACGGAGGCGAUGAAGGACGUGAUAAGCUGCGAUAAGCUUCGGGUAGGUGCAAAUAACCCUUGAUCCGAAGAUUUCCGAAUGGGACAACCUAGCCGUCUGAAGGGCGGUUACUAGCACUUAAGUGUUAGAGCUAACGCAGGGAACUGAAACAUCUUAGUACCUGCAGGAAGAGAAAAUAAAUUAAUGAUUCCCCCAGUAGUGGCGAGCGAACGGGGAACAGCCCAAACCAGUGGCGUCGCAAGGCGUGGCUGGGGUUGUAGGACCGCGACAUUGUAUGCAAAUCGUGAACAGAACACUUUGGAAAAUGUGACCAUAGACGGUGAUAGUCCAGUAUGUGAAGCGAAAUGCAGCAUAGCGGUAUCCUGAGUAACGCGGGACACGAGGAAUCCUGCGCGAAUCUGCCGGGACCAUCCGGUAAGGCUAAAUACUCCCGUGAGACCGAUAGCGAACGAGUACUGUGAAGGAAAGGUGAAAAGAACCCCGAGCAGGGGAGUGAAAUAGUUCCUGAAACCAUGCGCCUACAAGCGGUCGGAGCAUCUUACGAUGUGACGGCGUGCCUUUUGCAUAAUGAUCCUACGAGUUACCGUCACUGGCGAGGUUGAGUGUCACGAGACACGUAGCCGCAGUGAAAGCGAGCCUGAAUAGGGCGCACAGUCAGUGGGGGUAGACGCGAAACCAAGUGAUCUACACUUGGCCAG
Molecule: ribosomal RNA, 737 nt
Filed under: Segatella copri
Lineage: Bacteria; Pseudomonadati; Bacteroidota; Bacteroidia; Bacteroidales; Prevotellaceae
Description: partial 23S ribosomal RNA
Rfam family: Bacterial large subunit ribosomal RNA
Source: RNAcentral